GGAGUUUGAUCCUGGCUCACACCCCACGCUGGCGGCUUGCUUAACACAUGCGAGUCCAGUGCGCAGUUCCCUGUGGCAAUACAGGGGAUGGGCGCACGGCGCAGGGGUGAGUAACACGUGGGCAACCUGCCCUCCAAAGGGGGAUAACCCCGCGAAAGCGGGGCUAAUACCGCAUGACAUUCCGGUGGCUUCGGCCGCCGGAUUCAAAGGCCUGAAGGCCGUUUGGGGAGGGGCCCUCCCCCGAUUAGCUUUUUGGUGAGGUAACCGCUCACCUGGGCUUUGAUCGGUAGCCGGUCUGAGAGGAUGGUCGGCCACACUGGAACUGACACACGGUCCAGACUCCUACGGGAGGCAGCAGUGGGGAAUCUUGCGCAAUGGGCGAAAGCCUGACGCAGCGACGGUUGUGGGGGAUGAAGCUUCUCGGAGUGUAAACCCCUUUCGACCCGGAAGAAUGUCCCGCAAGGGAUUGACGGUACCGGUAUAAGAAGCCCCGGCUAACUACCUGCCAUCCGCCGCGGUAAGACGUAAGGGGCCGGCGUUGCUCGUAAUUACAGGGCAUAAAGGGUCGUAGGCGGUGCGGCAAGUCGCAAGUGAAAUCUCCAGGCUUAACUUGGAGGCUGCUCCCGAAACUGCCGAGCUUGAGUGCGGGAGAUGCCAGUGGAAUUGCUUGUGUAGCGGUGAAAUGCGUAAAUCUCUGCUUGAACACCCGUGGCGAAGGCGGCUGGAUGGAGCGCACCUGACUCUCAGGAACGACACCUCGGGGAGCAUACACGAUUACAUACCCUGGUAGUCCUAGCCUCAACGAUCAUGACUUGGGGUGCAUCCCGCCGGGUGCGUCCCGUACUAUCCGUAAGUCUGCGCUGGGGAGUCGGUCGCAGGGUGAAAUCCAGGAAUGACUGGGGCCUUACA
Molecule: ribosomal RNA, 909 nt
Filed under: uncultured soil bacterium
Lineage: Bacteria
Description: bacterial SSU rRNA
Rfam family: Bacterial small subunit ribosomal RNA
Source: RNAcentral